UACGGAAGGCAGCAGUGGGGAAUAUUGCACAAUGGGCGCAAGCCUGAUGCAGCCAUGCCGCGUGUAUGAAAAAGGCCUUCGGGUUGUAAAGUACUUUCAGUCGUGAGGAAGGUGUUAAGGUUAAUAACCUUAGCAAUUGACGUUAGCGACAGAAGAAGCACCGGCUAACUCCGUGCCAGCAGCCGCGGUAAUACGGAGGGUGCGAGCGUUAAUCGGAAUUACUGGGCGUAAAGGGCACGCAGGCGGUUAAUUAAGUUGGAUGUGAAAUCCCCGGGCUUAACCUGGGAAUGGCAUUCAAGACUGGUUAGCUAGAGUCUUGUAGAGGGGGUAGAAUUCCAUGUGUAGCGGUGAAAUGCGUAGAGAUGUGGAGGAUACCGGUGGCGAAGGCGGCCCCUGGGACAAGGCUGACGCUCAUGUGCGAAAGCGUGGGGAGCAAACG
Molecule: ribosomal RNA, 439 nt
Filed under: uncultured bacterium
Lineage: Bacteria
Description: bacterial SSU rRNA
Rfam family: Bacterial small subunit ribosomal RNA
Source: RNAcentral